RNAcentral lists this ribosomal RNA (456 nucleotides) under uncultured bacterium. Its description in RNAcentral is "bacterial SSU rRNA". It matches the Rfam family "Bacterial small subunit ribosomal RNA", at positions 340 to 786 of the family's 1533-position model. The record is from RNAcentral.
UACGGAAGGCAGCAGUGGGGAAUAUUGCACAAUGGGCGAAAGCCUGAUGCAGCUAUGCCGCGUGUAUGAAGAAGGCCUUAGGGUUGUAAAGUACUUUCAUCGGGGAGGAAAAAACAAAACUAAUAAUUUUAUUUCUUGACGUUACCCGAAAAAGAAGCACCGGCUAACUCCGUGCCAGCAGCCGCGGUAAUACGGAGGGUGCUAGCGUUAAUCAGAAUUACUGGGCGUAAAGAGCACGUAGGUGGUUUUUUUAAGUCAGAUGUGAAAUCCCUGGGCUUAACCUAGGAACUGCAUUUUGAAACUGAAAUACUAGAGUAUCGUAGAGGGAGGUAGAAUUCUAGGUGUAGCGGUGAAAUGCGUAGAUAUCUGGAGGAAUACCUGUGGCGAAAGCGGCCUCCUAAACGAAUACUGACACUGAGGGUGCGAAAGCUGGGGAGCAAACAGGGAUUAGAUACC